Molecule: ribosomal RNA, 747 nt
Filed under: uncultured sediment archaeon
Lineage: Archaea
Description: bacterial SSU rRNA
Rfam family: Archaeal small subunit ribosomal RNA
Source: RNAcentral
UCCGGUUGAUCCUGCCGGACCUGACUGCUAUCGGAUUGAUACUAAGCCAUGCGAGUCAUUGUAGCAAUACAAGGCAUACGGCUCAGUAACGCGUAGUCAAUCUACCCUAUGGACGGGGAUAACCUCGGGAAACUGAGAAUAAUACCCGAUAGAACAUUAUACCUGGAAUGGUUUAUGUUUCAAAUAAUUUAUUGCCGUAGGAUGGGACUGCGGCCUAUCAGUUUGUUGGUGAGGUAAUGGCCCACCAAGACUAUUACAGGUACGGGCUCUGAGAGGAGUAGCCCGGAGAUGGGUACUGAGACACGGACCCAGGCCCUAUGGGGCGCAGCAGGCGAGAAAACUUUGCAAUGUGCGAAAGCACGACAAGGUUAAUCCGAGUGGUUUCUGCUAAAGGAACCUUUUGACAGUCCUAGAAACACUGUUGAAUAAGGGGUGGGCAAGUUCUGGUGUCAGCCGCCGCGGUAAAACCAGCACCUCAAGUGGUCAGGAUGAUUAUUGGGCCUAAAGCAUCCGUAGCCUGCUUUGUCAGUUUUCGGUUAAAUCCAUACGCUCAACGUAUGGGCUGCCGGAAAUACUACAAAGCUAGGGAGUGGGAGAGGUAGACGGUACUCGGGAGGAAGUGGUAAAAUGCUUUGAUCUCUCGAUGACCACCUGUGGCGAAGGCGGUCUACCAGAACACGUCCGACGGUGAGGGAUGAAAGCUGGGGGAGCAAACCGGAUUAGAUACCCGGGUAGUCCCAGCUGUAA